Molecule: ribosomal RNA, 301 nt
Filed under: uncultured bacterium
Lineage: Bacteria
Description: partial 16S ribosomal RNA
Rfam family: Bacterial small subunit ribosomal RNA
Source: RNAcentral
CAGCCGCCGCGGGAAUACGUAGGUGGCAAGCGUUGUCCGGAAUUAUUGGGCGUAAAGCGCGCGCAGGCGGCCUAUCCAGUCUGUCUUAAAAGUUCGGGGCUCAACCCCGUGAUGGGACGGAAACUAGUAGGCUAGAGUAUCGGAGAGGAAAGCGGAAUUCCUAGUGUAGCGGUGAAAUGCGUAGAUAUUAGGAAGAACACCAGUGGCGAAGGCGGCUUUCUGGACGAAAACUGACGCUGAGGCGCGAAAGCCAGGGGAGCGAACGGGAUUAGAUACCCCCGUAGUCCCUGUCUCUUAUACA